CCCCUGGAUCCCCGGAACGGCCCCUGGAUCCCUGGAAUAGCCCCGGAACGGCCCCUGGAUCUCUGGAAUAGCCCCCGGAACGGCCCCUGGAUCUCUGGAAUAGCUCCUGGAUCCCCUGGAAUAGCUCCCGGAUCCCGGCCCGACGCUUUUCCGGGCGCUCUUUCCUGCGAGCAGGAGAAUCCCCGGAUUUCCGAACCCCCGGAUUUCCGAAUCCCUGGAUUUCUGAAUUCCCAGAUUCCCAAACCCCCGGAUUUCCAAGGCGUGUCCCGGCAGCCCGAGCGGACUCCGACCCCAUCCCCGGCCCGCGGCCGCUCCCAGCGGGAACUCCGGCCCGGGAGGAGCCGCCGCCGCUUCUCCCGGAUUUUGGCUUUUCCCGGAUUUUGGCUUUUCCCGUGGAUUUUUUGGCACCGGGAGGGGUCGGGGUGUGGCCCGAGGCCGAGAUUUCUUCCUCCCUUCCUUCCUCAUCCUCCGGCUGGCCCCGGGAUUGUCCCCAAGCCGGGCUUUUCCUGGGAGAAGGGAGGGGUCCCGCUGUCCCCUGGCAUGGAACUGGCACCGCUCCGCCACCCCCGGGCCGGGCUCGCCGCUGGAUUCCCCAGGCUGUCCUGAGCCGCCAUGGCCACCAAGGUGCCGAUCUACCUGAAGAGGGGCAGCCGCAAGGGCAAGAAGGAGAAGCUGCGGGACAUCCUUUCCUCGGACAUGAUCAGCCCUCCGCUGGGCGACUUCCGCCACACCAUCCACGUGGGCAGCGGCGGCGAGGGCGACACGUUCGGGGACAUCUCCUUCCUGCAGGGCAAGUUCCACCUGCUGCCCCGCGGCGCCGACGGGGACCGCGCUGCCGCCG
This 841-nucleotide long non-coding RNA is filed under the name Serinus canaria (Common canary). Its description in RNAcentral is "lncRNA (ENSSCAG00000006034.1)". Lineage: Eukaryota; Metazoa; Chordata; Aves; Passeriformes; Fringillidae. The record is from RNAcentral.